Tarenaya hassleriana is the source of this 384-nucleotide long non-coding RNA. RefSeq lists it as uncharacterized. Lineage: Eukaryota; Viridiplantae; Streptophyta; Magnoliopsida; Brassicales; Cleomaceae. The transcript is spliced from 2 exons. The record is from RefSeq and is a predicted model, not a curated record.
AGAGAGACGGCCAUCUGUUCGCCGCCUUUUCAUACUUUGACAAAGAUGGGAGUGGUUAUAUAACGGCCGACGAGCUCCAGCAAGCUUGUGAGGAGUUUGGCGUGGAAGAUUUCCGCAUAGAAGAAAUGAUACGUGACGUCGAUCAGGACAGCGACGGGCGGAUUGAUUACAACGAGUUUGUGGCGAUGAUGCAGAAAGGUACGAUCACCGGAGGAGGGCCGCCGGGGAAGAAGGGUCUAGAAACUAGCUUUAGCAUUGCUCUGAAACACUAGUUUCUGUUUUUUUUAUAUAAGAAAAAGGCAGAGGAGAUCAUAAUCAUAUAAUUGCAUAGCCAUUUCUCUGUUUUUUUUGUACCUCUAAAAAAAAGUUUCAAUCUUUGGAUGA